RNAcentral lists this ribosomal RNA (616 nucleotides) under uncultured bacterium. Its description in RNAcentral is "bacterial SSU rRNA". The stretch from base 1 to 522 matches the Rfam family "Bacterial small subunit ribosomal RNA", at positions 338 to 873 of the family's 1533-position model. The record is from RNAcentral.
CCUACGGGAGGCAGCAGUGGGGAAUCUUGCGCAAUGGGCGAAAGCCUGACGCAGCAACGCCGCGUGCGGGAAGAAGGCUUUCGGGCUGUAAACCGCUUUCAGCAGGAACGAAAAUGACGGUACCUGCAGAAGAAGGAGCGGCCAACUAUGUGCCAGCAGCCGCGGUGAUACAUAGGCUUCAAGCGUUGUCCGGAUUUAUUGGGCGUAAAGAGUUCGUAGGCGGUCGAGUAAGUCGGGUGUGAAGAUUCUGGGCUCAACCCAGAGACGCCACCCGAUACUGCUUGACUUGAGUUCGAUAGGGGAGUGGGGAAUUCCUAGUGUAGCGGUGAAAUGCGCAGAUAUUAGGAGGAACACCGGUGGCGAAGGCGCCACUCUGGAUCGAUACUGACGCUGAGGAACGAAAGCAUGGGUAGCAAACAGGAUUAGAUACCCUGGUAGUCCAUGCGUAGACGGUGGCGACUAGGUGUGGUUUCGUUAUUAACGUAAACUACGCGCCGUCGUCUACGACAUAAGUAGCCCGCCGUCGGGAGGUACGGUCGCGAGAACGUAAACGUAACGUAAAGGUAAAGUUAGUUACGGCGUGAGACGUGCCGACGGACGACGACGAGGGAGGAGG